This 127-nucleotide non-coding RNA is filed under the name Flavobacterium sp. CECT 9288. Its description in RNAcentral is "Bacteroid-trp". It matches the Rfam family "Bacteroidete tryptophan peptide leader RNA". Lineage: Bacteria; Pseudomonadati; Bacteroidota; Flavobacteriia; Flavobacteriales; Flavobacteriaceae. The record is from RNAcentral.
UUGCAUUAAAUAAAACAACAAUGAACACAAUUUUAAACAAUACUUGGUGGUGGAACAAUUUACGUCAAACGUCGUGAACUAAGCUCCUAUGGUAUUUUUUUAAAACUAUAAAUAUAAAAGGCUUGUC